Bradysia coprophila is the source of this 763-nucleotide long non-coding RNA. RefSeq lists it as uncharacterized. The record is from RefSeq and is a predicted model, not a curated record. Lineage: Eukaryota; Metazoa; Arthropoda; Insecta; Diptera; Sciaridae.
AGCAACCACUAGUUUGAUUCAUUUCAGUCAAGAACCCAUUGUUUUCAAGGACAUUAAAUAACAAUUUAAUGACAUGAAGUUGUUGUCGGUCCAAGGCUUUGUCGUCGUCACUUUGUGCCUCAUGAUAGUGGAAACCUUCGGUUUGAAAUGUUUUUACUGCGAUGAUAAGGACCCACAUUGCCGGAAUUUCAGUUCAGAUUCAUGUCCAUCGGAUUUCAUCUGCUUUGAAAUUACGCUGAGUACAGGUCACAAAAAAGGAUGUACCCUAUUGAAAACGUACUGCGAGCACUAUAAUGACCGCAUCGGACCACUUAUUAUCGAUUGCCAUACAUGCCUCGAAGACUAUUGCAACAGAGCUGACAGAUUUCAAUCCUUUAAUUGGAUGUAUGUUUUCGUAGUGGCGAGUUUGAGCAUUACUAAGUGGACAUUCUGUUGAUCUGGCCGAGAAAUACAAAAAUGAAUUGACUUCAGAGUCUAGUUUAUUAACAUUACUUUUCGGGUGCAACGACAAAGACAUUGAAUGCACGUCCAUCCCACCUUACAAACUGGGUCGCUCCAACUUCCAUUGACCAUUUUGCAGAAAAUGAACUUUCCGAGCCAACUACUCCUAGAGAGUUUAUGUCACCUAUACGAUUGUUAACGUAUUCGUAAAUAUAUUUGCAUCUGGUGUUGCUGUCGACAUUCCAUUUUCGGCUAUCCAAAAUUUUCUUGAGCCUGCUGGCAAUGUUAUCAUCAUUGUUAUUUGUGUGUACCACAUUGAUGU